RNA transcript from Nycticebus coucang (slow loris), 8819 nucleotides. RefSeq lists it as uncharacterized. NCBI's taxonomy places the organism in Eukaryota, Metazoa, Chordata, Mammalia, Primates, Lorisidae. The record is from RefSeq and is a predicted model, not a curated record. The transcript has 8 exons.
AGUCAAAAAACUGUUAGCAUUCUGGCUCGGCACCUGUGGCUCAAGCGGCUAGGGCGCCAUCCACAUACACCUGAGCUGGCAGGUUUGAAUCCAGCCCGGCCCACCAAACAAAGAUGGCUGCAACAAAAAAUAGCUGAUGUUGUGGCGGGCGCCAGUAGACCCAGUGACUUGGGAGGCAGAGGCAGGAGAAUCACUUGAGCCUAGGAGUUGGAGAUUGCUGUGAGCUGUGAUGUCACAGCACUCUACCCAGGGCUACAGCUUGAGGCUCUGUCUCAAAAGAAAAGAAAAAAACGGUUAGCAUUCUGGCCACCUUCAGCCUCCGGUCUGACCGCAUUCCUGUCACUCAAGGUAAGAGAGGUGGGGCCUGAGGUAACUCCAGGUAUCCAAUCAGCGAUGCUCCAAUAUGAACUGUCCAAUUAGAUGCACAACCAGAAAAAAAGGAGGCGGCUCUGGGAAUCCUGAGCAGCUCUCCUCGCUUAGGCUGGGAACUGAUCUGGGGUCCCCUCUUCACUGUUGCAUCUUCAGGACGAUCCAGGUGUCUCUGCAGACGCCUCUGUCACUUAUGACCUGCAGGUACUGGGAGAUCAGUAGGGACGACACUGGGACAUCCCUGAAGCUAGGAAAUGGAAAUGUUGACAUUUAAAGAUGUGUCUAUAGAAUUCUCUGUAGAUGAGUGGGCCUGCCUGGACCUGCUCAGCAGAAUUUGUAUCAGGAUGUCAUGCUAGAAACCUACAGCAACCUGGUCUUCCUGCGGCUUGCUGUCUCUAAGCCAGACCUCAUCACCUGUCUGGAGCAAAGCAAAGAACCCUGGAAGGUGAAGACACACCAGAUAGUAGUCAAGCACAUAGGUAGGUUUAAUCAUUCUACCCAAGAUCAUUUGCAUUAGCUGGGCACAAAUAAUUUAUUCCCAGAAAUCAUCCUGAGAAGAUAUCAAAGCUGUGGCCCUGAGAAUUUAAACUUAACAAAAGACUGGGCAAGUGUGUAUGAGUGUAAGCAGCAGAAGGUAUAUUUCAUUGGACUUGACCAAUGUUUAACAGCUACUCCUAGCAAAAUCUUCCAAUGCAGUAAAUGCUUGAAAGUCUUCAGACAAUUGUCAAAUUUAAAUACACAGAAGAUGAUAUGUACUGUAGAGGAAACUUUUCACUGUAAAAAAUAUGGGAAAGCCUCUAACCAAUGCUCAUCUGUUACUAAAUAUAAGAUAAUUCAUAUUGAAGAACAACAGUACAAAUGUAAAAAGGCAGCAAAGUCUUUGAAUCUUGUUCAAGCCUGUCUAAGCAUAAGAGACUUCAUACUGUAGAGAAGCUCUGCAUUUGUGAAAAUUAUGGCAAAUGUCUUAGCCACCAAUCAAAAUAUUGUAACCAUAAUACUAUUAAUACUGGAGGAAAACUCUACAACUAUAAAGAAUGUGACAAACUUAGCAACUCACACCUUUCUGAACAUCAAAGAAUUCAUUUUGGAAAGAAACCCUACAAAUGUCAAGAAUGUGGUAAAGCCUUUAAUUAUAGUUCAACCCUUACUAACCAUCAAAGAAUUCAUUCUGGAGAGUAUCCCUAUGAAUGUAAACAAUGUGGCAAAGUCUUUACCCAUUACUCACACCUUUCUGUAUAUCAAAGAAUUCAUUCUGGAGAGAAACUCUACAAAUGUCAAGAAUGUGGCAAAGCCUUUACCCAGAACUCAACCCUUUCUGUACAUCAAAGAAUUCAUUCUGGAGAGAAAUCCUAUAAAUGUCAAGAAUGUGGCAAAACCUUUAAUUGUAGUUCAACCCUUACUAACCAUCAAAGAAUUCAUUCUGGGGAGAAACCCUACAAAUGCUAAGAAUGUGGGAAAAUGCAGGGCCCAGAGAACUCUGACCGCCUGAGAUGGGCACAAGAUUAUCCACAGGUAAUAAUCAGUCCAUGACAAUGAUGGCUUUCUGGACAGCAACUAUUUGGCCCAAUGUCAGCAGGGAUGCCCAGUACAAUGGGUAGUCUACCCUCUCUUCUCUACCUAUGGAAAGCUGUGGGCCAAGGCUUUCUAAUAAUUGCUGCAGCUACAUAUUCAGUGCUUAAUACUGCACUUUAUCCUAUGACUAAACAAUCUGAUUCUAUAUCAGGAGUGACAGGAGAGCUGGAACACAAAUUCCUUCUGAAACCUGUCACAUGCUGGAGUGGAGAAAGAGAGAUGACUCAUUUUUUUUUUUUUUUUAUUUUUUUGAGACAAGUCUCAAGCUGUCACCCUGGGUAGAGUGCAAUGGUGUCACUACUCACAGCAACCUCAAACUCUUGGGCUCAAGCAAUCCCCUUGCCUCCGCCUCUCAAGUAGCUGGAACUACAGGCGACCACCACAAUGCCUGGCUAUAUUUUAGUUAUAGUUAUCAUUGUUGUUUGGUGGGCCUGGGCUGGAUUUGAACCCACCAGCUCCAGUGUAUGUGGCUGGCGCUUUAGCCGCUUGAGCUACACAGAUGCCAAGCCUCAUUGUUUUUUUUUUUAGAUUCCUGAUUUCUUUGUUCUCUUGCUGGGGAGAGACUUGUCUAAAUUAUAUACUGAGAUUCCCUUUUCUCCAGAAAACAAUAGCCUUCAAAUGAAGGUACUGCAUGAACAUUCCUGGUGUAUGUCACUUCAGUAUCUGGAGGAUGAGGAUGAAUGGCCAGAGGAAAGAAAUAUUCAGUGUGUGUCCAAAAUUGUGAAGCUGGUCAUCUGGAAAAGUGUGAGAAGAAGAAAGUCAUUGACCUUGCACCCAGAGCUGCAUCCUCUACUGAAGAAGGUCUGGAAGCCCCCAGCUCAAGUCUCAUCUGAUCCACUGACAGGCUGUGACCUCUUGUCCAAGGAUGGGGUGUGCUCAUGUCCUUCCUAGGAGGAGCUGUGUGUUUCUCCACCCAGGGCUGGAUCCCCAAGAUCAGACAGUGUAGGGAUUUGUAAGACAAAAUUUGUAAGACAAAAUGGAUGGCCAUGGCAUAGGUCUGCACUGCUCUGCUCACAGGCCCCUCCAGCCAGUUGAUCUCAGAGAGCUGCUCCCAGGUUAGGAGAAAAUGUAUCUGCUAUGACCAUACUUAGGCUAUGUCUUGAUAAAUUGGCUAAUAGAUAGCAUUGAGGGAAGUCACCCAUCUUUUUUGACAGUGCAGCGGUGAUCUUUGGGUAACUGCAAUCUGGGCCAUUUGGAACUGAAAUCUGGGACACUUGCUCUACCUAGUAUGUGCCCUUAGGAGUCCCCUACCACAGGCAUCGCAGGCCUUCUCCAUGUCACCUCUGUGUAUAAUGUCAGAGACUUUUGUUUUCUUUUCUACAGUCAAGCUGUGCUCAUCUUGGAGACAGUACUCUGUGCAGGAAUCAUGUGAGCGUGAGAGUCAAACAAAAGAGUUUCCAAGGUUAUUCAUUCUGGAAUCUUCCCAUGCACCUUCAGUUUUUGGCAGGAGCUGGGCUUGAAUCCGCCACCUCUAGCAUAUGGAGCCAGUGCCCUACUCCUUUGAGCCACAGGGGCCAUCCUGGUUCAAGUGUUCUUAUCACACACUGUUUAAAAGCACCCUCAUUCAUGGGAGACAACAUCCUUUCUUUGGAAAGGUCCUGAAAAUAAGAAGAAUUAACACUGGUGUCACUAUUUUUUUGGAGGGAACAAAGCUGAAAUUUAUGUUUACUUAGAUAUGCACCAUGCUGUCUUAAAAUGGAGUAAAGUAUAUGGUGGGUAAAUAUUACAAAUUUUUCCUCCUGUUCUAUGUGGCUUAUUAUUAUUAUUAUUAUUGUUUUGAGCCAGAAUCUCACUAUGUCACCCUCAGUAGAGUGCAUGUGGCCAGCACCCUAACCAGUGAGCUAUGAGCACUGCCCCAUUAUUAUUAUUUUUAUAUUUAUUUUUCUUUACAUAUAUAUUUAUUGAGACAGUCCGUGUCACACUGGGCAGAAUGCUGUACUAUCAUAGCUCACAGCAACCUCAGUCUCCUGGGCUUAGGAUAUCCUUUUGCCUCAGCAUCCUGAGUUUUGUGACUACGGGUGUAUGCCACCAGGCCUAAGUAAUUAUUUUUUUUUGUUUUUCAGGUUUUUUUUUUUAGAGACGGAGUCUCAUUUUGUUGCCCUUGGUAGAGUGCCAUGGUGCCACAGCUCACAGCAACCUCCAGCUCUUUGGCUUAGGUGAUUCUCUUGCCUCAGCCUCCUGAGUAGCUGGGACUACAUGCGCCCACCACAAUGCCUGGCUAUUUUUUGUUUUUGUUGUAGUUGUCAUUGUUUUUUAGCAGGCCCAGGCCAGGUUUGAACCUGCCAGCCUCAGUGUAUGUGGCUGGUGCCCUAACCACAGAGCUAUGGGCACCGAGACUAAUUAUUCUUCUUUUAAUAGAGACAGGGUCUCCCUCUUGCUCAGGCUGGGCCUGAAUGUCUGUGCUCAACUGAUCCACCUCCUCAGUCUCCCAGAGUGCCAGGAUUACAAACAUGAGUCACCACGCCUGGCCACCAUGUACCUCUUCACCUUGUGCUCACCUGGUGUGCUGCAGAUUCUUACCUAGUUUUUAGAUUCACAAAAAUUCAGUAUGUUACAUUUAUUUUCUUUAUUUAUUUAUUUUUGAGUCUCAAGCUAUUGCCCUGUGUAGAGUGCUAUGGUGUCAUAGCUCACAGCAACCUCCAACUCUUGUACUCAAAUGAUCCUCUUGCUUCAGUUUUUCUGCUUUUAGUAGAGACAGGGUCUUGCUUUUGCUAAGACUGGUCUUGGACUCAGGAGCUCAGGCAAUCCACUGCGUCGGCCUCACAGAGUGCUAAGAUUACAAGCAUGAGCCACCGCACCUGGCCCAGGCUGAACUUCUUUUUUUUUUUCAGUUUUUGGCCAGGGCUGGGUUUGAACCCGCCACCUCCGGCAUAUGAGGCUGGUGCCCUACUCGGUUAAGCCACAGGCACCGCCCGAGGCUGAACUUCUUAAUUGUAUAUUAUUUGAUGACACUUCUUCCUAAAUGUUAUAAUCAAUACAGAGUAUUUUGUUUGUUGGAAUAAUUCGUUUUAUCUUUUAUUAAUAAUUGACAUUGUAGGGUGGUUCCCGUAGCUCAGUGGAUAGGGCACCGGCCACAUACACUGAGGGAGGUGGGUUUGAACCCGGCCCGGGCCUGCUAAUCAGCAAUAACAACUGCAGCCAAAAUUAGCCGGGCUUUGUGGCAGGUGCCUGUAGUCCCAGCUGCUUGGGAGGCUGAGGUAAGAGAAUUGCUUAAGCCCAAGAGUUUGAGGUUGCUGUGAGCUAUGAUGCCAUGGCACUCUACGAAGGGCAACAUAGUGAGACUCUCUCAAAAAAAAAAUUUUUUUUAUACACCCACAUAUCCGUAUAUAUUAAAAAUGUGUAAUUUGAGUUGGGUGCAGUGGCUCAUGCCUGUAAUCCUAGCAUUCUGGAAGACUAAGGUGGGUGGAUUGCUUGAGCUCAGGAAUUCAAAAUAAGCUUGGGUAAGAGUGAGAUCCAGUUUCUACUAAAAACAAAAAUAGAGAAACUAGCUGGGUGUUGUGGUGGGCACCUGUAGUCUUGAGUACUUGAGAGGCUGAGGCAAGAGGAUCACUUAAACCAAAGAGUUUGAGGUUUCUGUGACCUAUGAUGCCAUGGCACUCUAUUCAGGGCAACAUAGUGAGACUCUGUCUGAACAAAACCCCCAAAUGUAUAACCUGGUAAGUUAGAAAUGAUUUGAUAGAUAGACAUCUUGGAAAAGAACAUCACCACGAUCCACAAUUCAUCAUCUCUUAAAGCAACAGUUCUCAACCUGCUGGUCAUGACCCCUUAUAACUAUAUUAAAGGAUGACGGCAUUAAGAAGGUUGAGAACCACUGUUAAAAAGUAUUCUUCUUUUUCCCUUUUUUUUUUUUAAGCAGAGCUCACUCUUACCCAGACUAAAGUGCCAUGGAAUCAGGCUAGCUCACACCAACCUCAAACUUCUGGCCUCAAACAAUCCUGCUGCCUCAGCCUCCAAAGUAUGUGAAAGUAACGGUGUGCACCACAAUCCACAGUUUUUGGCCGGGGCUAGGUUUGAACCUGCCACCUCCGGCAUAUGGGACCGGCGCCCUACUCCUUGAACCACAGGCGCCACCCAGAACAGAUAAUUUUGCUUUUCAUGUUGACAUAAGUAAUGUAAGUGCAUUAUAAUUUUCUUCUAUUAUAUAAACAUCAACACUGAGUUUGCAGUAUUUUGCUGGAUUUUUUAAACAUUUAAGAUUUUCUCAUCCAAGAGUAAAUGAAUAACCUUGACGGAAACCAAAAGUCUUAGUCAAAGGACUAAGCCAAUGUCAAUCUUGGUUCUGGAAACGGUGGUCACUGAAGACUUACAAUGUCUCCCUUGCAGGGUCACAGCCUCUUCCCACCAGCCAUGGGAGGAGCCCUUUGUACUGAGAGGAGCUGAAGAGCCCUGGACAGCUGGGGACCCAAAGGCAGAUGUGGUUGAUGGCAGUGACGGGUGAUGCGAUGCCCUUCCUGAAGGUUUAGGUGGUUUGUUGGGACUGUUUGUAGACAUUAUUCAAUAGAAGAAAUUUGAAAUCAUAUCUUACUGUCCAACAAAAUUAACUUGUAAUUAUUGUAAGGAAGUAUUGCUUGGGGAAAGCACCAAGUAUAAGAUCUGCAAGCCUCACACUCAAUGGCUUCCUUUCAUAAAGAAGAGCAAGCAAGUUUUGCAAAAUAUGGGAAGUGAGGGCAGAAUAGAAGGUGGAAAAAUAAUCUGCUAGAUCAGAAAAUGUUUCACCUUAAAGUCUGCCUGUUCAUAGUAGGAAUAUAGAUAUCGACGUCAGAAUAGGCCAAAUUUCAGGUGCUGGGUAAAGGAGAGAAACUUAAGAGAAAUUUGAUGAAAGAAUAUUUUGUUUGGACUGCUGAAGACAGAACUGUUCAGUUAAUUAUUUAUGAACAAAAAAUAGGAAUUUGCAGAGUUUGUGCCUGGCCUUGUCAUAGGUAAAAUGAGGAUUAUCAUCCAACUUAUAAUGGGAAGGUUUGAUUUUUGCAGUGAGUUGCUCUUGAGAACCCAGAGGAUGAGGAAUUUUUUUUUCUUUUCUUUUCUUUUUUUUUUUUUUUUUUUGAGACAGUCUCAUUAUGUCACCCUUGGUAGAGUACUGUGGCAUCACAGCUCACAGCAAUCUCAAACUCUUGGGCUUAAGUGAUUCUCUUGCCUCAGCCUCCCAAGUAGUUGGGACUACAAGGGGCCUGCCACAAUGCCCAGCCAUUUUUUUUUUUUUUUUUGCAGUUUUUGUCUGGGGUGGGGUUUGAACCUGUCACCUCCGGCAUAUGGGGCCGGUGCCCUACUCCUUUGAACCACAGGCACCGCCCAACACCCAGCUAUUUUUCUGUUGCAGUUAUCACUGUUGGUUAGCUGGCCUGGGCUAGGUUGGAACCCACAAGCCUUGGUAUAUGUAUGUAUGUGGAUGGCACAGUAACCACUGUGCUACGGGCCCUGAACCCUUUUUUCUUUUUUUUUAGACAGACUCUUACUCUGUUUCCCUGAGUAGAGUGCUUGACAUCAUAGCGCACAGCAGCUUCAAACUCUUGGGCACAAAUGAUCCUCUUGACUUAGAUUCCCAAUUAAGUGGGAAUAUAGGUACCCACCACAACGCAUGGCUACUUUUAAAAAUAGAAAUAGGGUCUCUAUUUUUAAAAGUAGCCAUGCGUUGUGGUGGGUACCUAUAUUCCCACUUAAUUGAGAAUCUAGAAAUAGGGUCUCGGGCAGUGCCUGUGGCUCAAAGGGGUAGGGUGUCAGCUCCAUAUGCCGGAGAUGGUGGGUUCAAACCCAGCCCCGGCCCAAAAAAAAAAAAAACUGCAAAAAAAAAGAAAGAAAUAGGGUCUCCCUCUUGGUCAGGUAGGUCUCAAACUCCAGAGCUCAAGUAAUCCACCCCUCUUAGCCUCCAAUAGUGCUAGGAUUAUAGGAUUUAGUCACAAGGGCUGGCUAGGAUGUGGAAUUUCUUUAAUCACAGCUACUUACCAGGAUGAAUUGUACACCCUAUCAUCUCCCACCACAUUCCCUUGCCCUAUACAUGUCUUUCGUGUAGCUUUUUAUGAGUAGUCUACUUUAUAUAAAAUUGGUGAACACUCAUAUGAAUGGCAAAACAUAACUAUAGUCCAGAAAGUAGAAGAGAAGAGGAGAGGGAGAGGAGGGGAGGGGGGAUGUGGAAGAAGGGAGGGUAUUUGGGGGACCUCACCUAAUGUGCAUGAUGCAAUGGUAUAUUUCAAAACUAUUAAGAGAUGAGUAUAAUUGUGAUGGAUGUGUUACUUAGUUCAAUGUAAGCAUUUCACAUUGUAUAUCAAAGCAGUACCAUGAACCCCAUAAAUGCAUCCCUAUGUACAAAGUUAUGAUUUAAUAAAAAAAAAUAAUAAAUUCAAAAAAAGAAUACUCGCCAGUUAGAAUUUUCGUGUUCUCUGUAGGAAACAUAUAAUUAAGAAUAAUUUAAUCAUCCGCACUUUUGUACAAAAGACAAACACAACAAUGGCCCAGGAUGAAGGAGGGAAGAGGAAGGGGAGAGGACAAGUGGGGGAGGCCAGGUGGAGGGAGGGUAAUUGGUGGGCCCUCACCUACGGUGCAUAUGCAAGGGUACAUGUCAAAUCUAUUAAGAGUAGAGUAUAAAUAUCUUUUUUUUUUUUUUUGGUGGUUUCCAGAGCAAUUUAUUCAUUAAAAUCUGUUCAAUAUGCCAUCAACAAUUUUCCCAUGUGUAUUGUGCUGAUAAAUAGACACUGAGAGGAUUUAACAAGUUCAUCAUUUAAUAAGUCUGAAUGCAUUUUCACCACAUGGUAUUGUACACGGUCAUCUGUUGAAACAGAUUUCUUUUUAACAGAUCUUAGUUUAAAAAAGUCAUAGAUACUGUGAAUUCUGUAUAAAUUGGUGGAUAGUAAGUUAGUUCCUUUGUUUUGACUUACAAGCCUCAA